AAGACUCCUUGUACAUCUGUCAGCUCACCACAAGAUGACCCUGUACCACGCACUGCUCCUAGCUCUAGCCUGCCUGCUCUAGCCUCCCAGACAACUCGAGCCGGAUGUUUAUGUCAAGCAUCAGCAGGUGAACUGCAUCAUGACAAAGGUUCGUUUCAUGAUCAGACAUUUUCAAGUUUGGGACACAUAUACAAGUGCCGUAAAUUUGACUAGCCGUUUGUAUGUAGCUAGCUUGGAUGAUGUUACUGGUGGUUCUGACGAUCAAGAUUUCGGUAUGAAUUACACGUCGAACUUCAAAAGAAAGCAGGAAUGCUGCAGGCGGUCUAAUCCUGUCAACGCUAGCUAACUAGUUCGGUAACCGACAACAACGUUAUCAUUUUGCAGCUGUCAAUUAUUUUUACAUUUUAGCUUGUCAACUUUGUGUCGAAUGCCACGCCCAGCAGCUGUUGGCACUGUAGACUAGAGCAUGUAAGGACCACCAAAUGAGUGCUGCUGAUUUUAAUGUCGCUAACUUGGCUACCUACCACUGGUGAGUGAAUUUCUUGUGCUUUUUAAGUUAGACAUUUAGCGAUAUAGAUCAAAUCGGGCCCCGUGUGUGUUACCCAGGCCAGCUUGCACGUGUCCCAGUCUCUUCUGGUCCAUUCAGCUGUAAGAGAGAGGGGCACCCCAGACAUGAGCAUGGAAGCCUCAUGAUUUUUAAAAUUUUUAAACAGAAGUCACCAUUCAUAAUUGGGCGGGCUGACUGCGGAGUUGUCUGACCUGGGCAAUGGGUUUGCUUGGCCCAACAGCUGGUCUGUCCCAUGAGGGUCUCUCCUUUUCUCCUGCCUGCCUCCAGGUCCUCAACCUGGCCCCAUGGACCACAACACUCCUGCUACUGCUCCUCACCGACCUGGCCCUCUCUGCCAAGGCUGGAGGCCGCCUGUCGAUAGAAGUCAUUACUGGCACUCAUGCCAUGGACACGGUAAGACUGGGGUAGAAGUGGUGGGAGUGGUCCUCCGGGUCACGCCUCAGCCCAGAGC
RNAcentral lists this long non-coding RNA (1019 nucleotides) under Oncorhynchus kisutch (coho salmon). RNAcentral's name for it is "lncRNA (ENSOKIG00005033592.1)". Lineage: Eukaryota; Metazoa; Chordata; Actinopteri; Salmoniformes; Salmonidae. The record is from RNAcentral.